Long non-coding RNA from Rosa chinensis, 560 nucleotides. RefSeq lists it as uncharacterized. Lineage: Eukaryota; Viridiplantae; Streptophyta; Magnoliopsida; Rosales; Rosaceae. The transcript is spliced from 2 exons. The record is from RefSeq and is a predicted model, not a curated record.
GUUAAUAAUCACCGACCACAACUUGUUCACUGAUCCACUAUAAAUAUGAAUCUUUCCUUCCUUCCAAUACACCACAAACAUAUUCCAAGACAGAUAUUCAUUAUCAGAGAGUAAAAGCCUAGAUUGAAAGAAAGCAAAGAUGUCUGAUCAAUGCGAAGGUAAGGAUUCAUGGCCUGAACUGUUGGGAGCUCAAGGAACAGUUGCGAAGGCAACAAUUGAGAGAGAAAACUCUUUAGUCGAGGCAGUGAUUGUGCUUGAAGGAUCAUUUGUCACUCAAGAUUUCAGGUGUGAUAGGGUUCGUGUUUGGGUCAAUACAGAUGGCAUUGUUACCAGGGUCCCUGUCAUUGGGUAAUUGAUCGGUCGUUGAUAAUAAUGGUUACUAGCUAGUCUCUUACAUACAUGUGAAGAAAAUCAUAUGAAAUAAUACUGAAAUAAUGAAAUAAUGAGUUAUAUUUCCAUGUAAUAUUCAUUGUAUUAAACAGUAUGUAGUUUGUUUUUCUUUCAGUUUAUUCUUACUGAAUCUACAUAAAUAAAGAAUUAUUUGCCUUUUCUUCUCUAAA